CACUGGCAUCCUGAGUGGCAGUCACCAUUACUGGGCUUAAAGCGUUCGUAGCCAGUCCGAUGGGUCCUUAGUGAAAUCCUGCGGCUUAACCGUAGGGCUUGCUGGGGAAACUAGCGGACUUGAGGAUGAGAGAGGCUAGAGGUACUUCUUGGGUAGGGGUGAAAUCCUAUAAUCCUAGAAGGACCAACAGUGGCGAAGGCGUCUAGCAUGAGCAUGCCUGACGGUGAGGAACGAAAGCCAGGGUCGCGAAACGGAUUAGAUACCCGCGUA
This 270-nucleotide ribosomal RNA is filed under the name uncultured prokaryote. RNAcentral's name for it is "partial 16S ribosomal RNA". It matches the Rfam family "Archaeal small subunit ribosomal RNA", at positions 474 to 743 of the family's 1478-position model. The record is from RNAcentral.